This 440-nucleotide ribosomal RNA is filed under the name uncultured bacterium. Its description in RNAcentral is "partial 16S ribosomal RNA". It matches the Rfam family "Bacterial small subunit ribosomal RNA", at positions 338 to 795 of the family's 1533-position model. The record is from RNAcentral.
CCUACGGGUGACAGCAGUGGGGAAUAUUGCACAAUGGGGGAAACCCUGAUGCAGCGACGCCGCGUGAAGGAAGAAGUAUUUCGGUAUGUAAACUUCUAUCAGCAGGGAAGAAAAUGACGGUACCUGAGUAAGAAGCCCCGGCUAACUACGUGCCAGCAGCCGCGGUAAUACGUAGGGGGCAAGCGUUAUCCGGAUUUACUGGGUGUAAAGGGAGCGUAGACGGCAGUGCAAGUCUGGAGUGAAAGGCGGGGGCUCAACCCCCGGACUGCUCUGGAAACUGUACGGCUGGAGUGCAGGAGAGGUAAGUGGAAUUCCUAGUGUAGCGGUGAAAUGCGUAGAUAUUAGGAGGAACACCAGUGGCGAAGGCGGCUUACUGGACUGUAACUGACGUUGAGGCUCGAAAGCGUGGGGAGCAAACAGGAUUAGAUACCCUUGUAGUC